Non-coding RNA from Pelobates cultripes (western spadefoot toad), 608 nucleotides. Lineage: Eukaryota; Metazoa; Chordata; Amphibia; Anura; Pelobatidae. The record is from the annotation of a GenBank genome assembly.
CGUCUUACAGUGACUGUUGGAUGACUUAUCAAAUCACUAUGGUAUGACUGGAAAACAAGAUGUAACAUUCAAUAUUGGUCCUAGGGAUCAUCCAAAGCAUUGUACAAACAGGGAGAGUACACAGAGGCGACUAUGGGGUCAGUAAAGUCAUUUUUCAGCUGCCAUCACUAGCCCAGAGUUUGAAAAGAUCUAACCCUCCACUACUACUGUCCAAAGACACUGGUGCCAAUUGAACUGUCGGAGGGAGAGGCGGAAUUCACAUGGAACUUUUUAGAAGUAUUAAUAAAUGUGGAUGGAAAUGAAGCUGUAAACACAAGAGGUCUGUGAUUGCAUUCUAAAUCUUAAAUACAAACCAUAGACUUGAAUUGUGGCAGAAACUAGAGCAACCGAACUAGCCCUUAUUCACCAAUGACAGAUUGCAAACAGGGAUACAUAACAAUGCUAACUGCAUUUAAGUCACUUAAAAGAACAUUGUGGCAGGUAGCACCUUAAUUGUAGCACCACGUCUCCAAAAUUUAGAUAAUAAGCCACAACGCAAACGAGGAAGACAAGAUCUCAUGUGCGGCAGUAUGCUAUUGUCCAUGUGGAUUCAAUAAUCUCACAGUGUA